ACUCCUUCGGGAGGCAGCAGUCGAGAAUCUUCGGCAAUGCGCGCAAGUGUGACCGAGCGACGCCGUGUGUGGGAUGAAGGCCUUCGGGUUGUAAACCACUGUCGUAGAGGAGGAAGUUGGCCGGGGUUCUCCCCGGUCAUUGACCUAUUCUAGGAGGAAGGACGGGCUAAGUACGUGCCAGCAGCCGCGGUAAUACAUACCGUCCAAACGUUAUUCGGAAUUACUGGGCUUAAAGGGUACGUAGGCGACGCUGUUAGUCGGGUGUGAAAUCCCUAGGCUCAACCGAGGAAUUGCGCCCGAUACUGCAGUGCUUGAGGGAGACAGAGGUAAGCGGAACUGAUGGUGGAGCGGUGAAAUGCGUUGAUAUCAUCAGGAACACCAGUGGCGAAAGCGGCUUACUGGGUCUCUUCUGACGCUGAGGUACGAAAGCUAGGGGAGCGAAGGG
Molecule: ribosomal RNA, 445 nt
Filed under: uncultured Planctomycetota bacterium
Lineage: Bacteria; Pseudomonadati; Planctomycetota
Description: bacterial SSU rRNA
Rfam family: Bacterial small subunit ribosomal RNA
Source: RNAcentral